RNAcentral lists this ribosomal RNA (582 nucleotides) under uncultured bacterium. RNAcentral's name for it is "bacterial SSU rRNA". It matches the Rfam family "Bacterial small subunit ribosomal RNA", at positions 102 to 694 of the family's 1533-position model. The record is from RNAcentral.
ACGGCGUAGUAAUGCAUCGGAACGUACCCUCUGGUCGGGGAUAGCUACGGGAAACUGUAGGUAAUACCCGAUGAUCUCUGCGGAGCAAAGGUGAGAUUCCGCCGGAGGAGCGGCUGAUGUGAUAUUAGCUAGUUGGUGGGGUAAUGGCCCACCAAGGCGAUGAUGUCUAGGGGGUGUGAGAGCAUGGCCCCCACGACCGGAACUGAGAUACUGUCCGGACACCUACGGGUGGCUGCAGUCGAGAAUCUUCCGCAAUGGACGAAAGUCUGACGGAGCGACGCCGCGUGCGGGAUGAAGGCCCUUGGGUUGUAAACCGCUGUCAGAGGGGAUGAAAUCUUCGGAGGUACUCCUCCGAAGUUGACAGAGCCUCAAAGGAAGCACGGGCUAAGUACGUGCCAGCAGCCGCGGUAACACGUACUGUGCGAACGUUAUUCGGAAUCACUGGGCUUAAAGGGUGCGUAGGCGGCGAAUCAAGUCAGGUGUGAGAGGCCUGAGCUCAACUGAGGCAUUGCGCUUGAAACUGAUUUGCUUGAGUAUCCCAGGGGUGUGCGGAACUGCCAGUGGAGCGGUGAAAUGUGUUGA